Salvia hispanica is the source of this 1728-nucleotide RNA transcript. It is a transcript of the gene named Transducin/WD40 repeat-like superfamily protein, with no coding region annotated. The record is from RefSeq and is a predicted model, not a curated record. NCBI's taxonomy places the organism in Eukaryota, Viridiplantae, Streptophyta, Magnoliopsida, Lamiales, Lamiaceae.
CUGCGAAUACCGGCGGGAACUAAACAAAAAAUCGCUAUAAACCCUACUCUCUCUGUCUCUCUCUCUCUCAUCAGUCACGCCAACACUACACCUCUUGACGCGAUGCCUUCUUUUCCUCAGCCAGGCACGGUCACCAUUUGCGAAAUCAACAGGGAACUAGUUACGGCAGACCACCUGGGAGAUGAUCAAGCCAAUGAUACCUACUCUAAAAUACUCGGGAAUAUAUUCAGUCCGAUCCAAUUCGAAUCAGAGAGUUUGUUGGGGGUGGGGACUGAGCAGGAAACGGUUGAACGGAGGAAGGGUAAUUCGGUACUAGAGGCUCUGUUCAGUGGCUCCCUCAGGCCUCUUUUGCAGCCUGCCGAUGUAAACCUCUUAAAUGGCAUUGAUCUUCACAGUGUAAGUUGGCACAACCACAAACAGAUUUUAGCAUUUGUUUCUUCACAUCAUCAGGUGAUGAUCUGUGACUACAAUGAUUCUGAUGGAAAGGUUCCUUGCGUCUUGUCCCAUGAAUCCCAAAAGGAUGUAAAAAUUCUUGAGUGGAGACCAAAUGGAGGGAAAACCCUUUCUGUUGCAUGCAAGGGUGGAAUUUGCAUUUGGGCUGCUUCUUCUCCCGGUAAUGUUCCAUCUGUAAGAUCUGGGGUGACUUCGAACCCACUUUCAAGGGGCUCUGUGACACGAUGGACUCUGGUAGAUUUCCUUCAGAGUUCUGAUUCUGAACAGAUUACUGCACUUUCAUGGAGUCCUGAUGGAAGAUAUUUAGCUUCAGCUUCAUAUGAGAGUUCAUCGUUCACCAUUUGGGAUGUUUCACUAGGUCUGGGCACUCCUAUUCGAAGGGGCCUAGGAGGCAUAUCAUUGUUAAAGUGGUCUCCAUCAGGAGAUUAUUUCUUUUCUGCAAAAUUUGAUGGAACAUUUUAUCUCUGGGAGACAAACACAUGGACAUCGGAACCAUGGUCCUCAAAGAAUGGGUUUGUCACGGGAGCAACAUGGGAUCCAGAUGGCUGUAUGGUACUUCUUUCUUUCUCAGAAUCCGCAUCAUUAGGUUCCAUUCACUUUACAUCCAAACCUCCGUCCCUAGAUGCACAUCUUAUACCAGUUGAAUUGCCAGAGAUAAAAUUAUUGACCGACAGCCAGGUCAUUGAGAAGAUAGCAUGGGAUGCUUCAGGAGAGAGAUUGGCGGUGUCAUAUAAAGAUGGUGAUGAGCAAUACAUCGGGCUUGUUGCGGUAUUUGAUGUUAAAAGAACUCCCUUAAUUUCAACAUCGUUGGUUGGGUUCAUCCGAGGUCCUGGGGACAAUCCAAAGCCAGUGGCAUUUUCAUUCUACGACAAAUUUAAACAAGGACCAUUGUUUUCUGUGUGCUGGAGCAGUGGAUUUUGCUGCACCUACCCUCUUAUAUUCCGUUCAAAUAAUCUACCAUAGUUGAGAGAUGAACCCAAGAAGUCAAAAUGUAAAUUACCAGAACUUAGUGGCUGUGACCAAGCAAAAAUAUGGUUAUGCAGAGAUUGCAUGCAGCGGUCUUGUCAGUUCAUCACCAAGGAACUGAAGUGAACAAUCUAUGAACUUGAUGGGACUUUUCGGAGAGAUGCUAUAUUUUCUGUGACACUGUUAAUUAAAAAAUACACCCAUUUAAGGGUACUAAGUUUUGUUGUAAACUGAUGUGAUCAACUACGUUCUGAAUUUGUGUAAAACUAAGUUCUUAUUGCAAGUCCCCUUUCAUGCGCUUUAAUACAA